This 845-nucleotide ribosomal RNA is filed under the name uncultured bacterium. Its description in RNAcentral is "bacterial SSU rRNA". It matches the Rfam family "Bacterial small subunit ribosomal RNA", at positions 39 to 874 of the family's 1533-position model. The record is from RNAcentral.
GCGGCAGGCUUAACACAUGCAAGUCGAGGGGUAACAGGGAUUGCUUGCAAUCCGCUGACGACCGGCGCACGGGUGCGUAACGCGUAUGCAACCUACCUUCUACAGGGGGAUAGUCAAUAGAAAUGUUGAAUAAUACCCCAUACGAUCUUUGAAUAGCAUUAUUUAAAGAAGAAAGUUCCGGCGGUAGAAGAUGGGCAUGCGUCCUAUUAGUUAGUUGGAGAGGUAACGGCUCCCCAAGACAUCGAUAGGUAGGGGUCCUGAGAGGGAGACCCCCCACACUGGUACUGAGACACGGACCAGACUCCUACGGGAGGCAGCAGUGAGGAAUAUUGGACAAUGGAGGCAACUCUGAUCCAGCCAUGCCGCGUGCAGGAAGACUGCCCUAUGGGUUGUAAACUGCUUUUAUACAGGAAGAAAUGUACCUACGUGUAGGUAUUUGACGGUACUGUACGAAUAAGGAUCGGCUAACUCCGUGCCAGCAGCCGCGGUAAUACGGAGGAUCCAAGCGUUAUCCGGAAUCAUUGGGUUUAAAGGGUCCGUAGGCGGUCUUUUAAGUCAGAGGUGAAAUCCUACAGCUCAACUGUAGAAUUGCCUUUGAUACUGAAGGACUUGAGUUAUUGUGAAGUAGUUAGAAUGUGUGGUGUAGCGGUGAAAUGCAUAGAGAUCACACAGAAUACCGAUUGCGAAGGCAGAUUACUAACAAUAUACUGACGCUGAGGGACGAAAGCGUGGGUAGCGAACAGGAUUAGAUACCCUGGUAGUCCACGCCGUAAACGAUGGAUACUAGCUGUUCGACCAACAUUGGUUGGUUGAGUGGCUAAGCGAAAGUGAUAAGUAUCCCACCU